This 291-nucleotide ribosomal RNA is filed under the name Bacillus sp. WG-2. Its description in RNAcentral is "partial 16S ribosomal RNA". It matches the Rfam family "Bacterial small subunit ribosomal RNA", at positions 1218 to 1507 of the family's 1533-position model. Lineage: Bacteria; Bacillati; Bacillota; Bacilli; Caryophanales; Bacillaceae. The record is from RNAcentral.
ACACGUGCUACAAUGGACGGUACAAAGAGCUGCAAGACCGCGAGGUGGAGCUAAUCUCAUAAAACCGUUCUCAGUUCGGAUUGUAGGCUGCAACUCGCCUACAUGAAGCUGGAAUCGCUAGUAAUCGCGGAUCAGCAUGCCGCGGUGAAUACGUUCCCGGGCCUUGUACACACCGCCCGUCACACCACGAGAGUUUGUAACACCCGAAGUCGGUGGGGUAACCUUUUUGGAGCCAGCCGCCUAAGGUGGGACAGAUGAUUGGGGUGAAGUCGUAACAAGGUAAAUCUCUAG